RNAcentral lists this ribosomal RNA (435 nucleotides) under uncultured bacterium. Its description in RNAcentral is "partial 16S ribosomal RNA". It matches the Rfam family "Bacterial small subunit ribosomal RNA", at positions 29 to 507 of the family's 1533-position model. The record is from RNAcentral.
AGCGAACGCUGGCGGCAGGCUUAACACAUGCAAGUCGAGCGGGCACUUUCGGGUGUCAGCGGCGGACGGGUGAGUAACGCGUGGGAACGUGCCCUCUGGUUCGGAAUAACUCAGGGAAACUUGAGCUAAUACCGGAUACGCCCUUUUGGGGAAAGGCUUGCUGCCGGAGGAUCGGCCCGCGUCUGAUUAGCUAGAUGGUGAGGUAACGGCUCACCAAGGCGACGAUCAGUAGCUGGUCUGAGAGGAUGAUCAGCCACACUGGGACUGAGACACGGCCCAGACUCCUACGGGAGGCAGCAGUGGGGAAUAUUGGACCAUGGGCGCAAGCCUGAUCCAGCCAUGCCGCGUGAGUGAUCAAGGCCUUAGGGUUGUAAAGCUCUUUUAUCCGGGACGAUAAUGACGGUACCGGAGGAAUAAGCCCCGGCUAACUUCGUG